UGUAAGCGUAUACCAAAGUUGUUGCAGUUAAAACGCUCGUAGUCGGAAUUUGGCAGUUCCGGAUGUGUGCACGUCGUGUGCGCACUUCGCGGGGAUUGCUUUUGUGGUCUUGCGUAGGAUGAGGCACUUUUAUUAGUGAACGUCCUCACGCAACCACUUUUUACUGUGAGAAAAUCAGAGUGCUCAAAGCAGGCAUUUGCCGUGAAUGUAUUAGCAUGGAAUAAUAGAAUAGGACUUGGUUCUAUUUUGUUGGUUUGUUGGGACUGAGUAAUGAUUAAGAGGGACAGUUGGGGGCAUUUGUAUUUCGGUGCUAGAGGUGAAAUUCUCAGAUUACCGAAAGACAAACUGCUGCGAAAGCGUCUGCCAAGGAUGUUUUCAUUGA
RNAcentral lists this ribosomal RNA (382 nucleotides) under uncultured eukaryote. Its description in RNAcentral is "partial 18S ribosomal RNA". It matches the Rfam family "Eukaryotic small subunit ribosomal RNA", at positions 592 to 976 of the family's 1831-position model. The record is from RNAcentral.